This 459-nucleotide ribosomal RNA is filed under the name uncultured bacterium. RNAcentral's name for it is "partial 16S ribosomal RNA". It matches the Rfam family "Bacterial small subunit ribosomal RNA", at positions 338 to 795 of the family's 1533-position model. The record is from RNAcentral.
CCUACGGGAGGCAGCAGUGAGGAAUAUUGGUCAAUGGCCGAGAGGCUGAACCAGCCAAGUCGCGUGAGGGAAGAAUGUCCUAUGGAUUGUAAACCUCUUUUGUCAGGGAGCAAAGUCACCCACGUGUGGGUGUUGGAGAGUACCUGAAGAAAAAGCAUCGGCUAACUCCGUGCCAUCAGCCGCGGUAAUACGGAGGAUGCGAGCGUUAUCCGGAUUUAUUGGGGUUAAAGGGUGCGUAGGCGGGUUAUCAAGUCAGCGGUAAAAUCGUGGAGCUCAACUCCAUCCAGCCGUUGAAACUGAUUAUCUUGAGUGGGCGAGAAGUAGGCGGAAUGCGUGGUGUAGCGGUGAAAGGCAUAGAUAUCACGCAGAACUCCGAUUGCGAAGGCAGCAUACCGGCGCCCGACUGACGCUGAAGCACGAAAGCGUGGGUAUCGAACAGGAUUAGAUACCCUUGUAGUC